UACAAAGGGGAUUUUGCAGCUCCGUGAGUGUGACGUUUUCGCGAGUCAGGAUCUCCACCCGCGUCCGCAAGCCAGCAAAAUCAGACUUCAGCUCCGACAGGACGAAAAACAAUUCUCCCCAACGCGUCACAAUUUUGCGUCUUUUCCUCGACUUACCUGCCAACCCAAGCUACUGUUCUGUCGGAUUUCCAGCACAGCUGAGCCCGAAGGAGACAGAAAAUUAGAAAGAGAGAGAAAGGAGUAUGCUGUGUGUGCGUCGGACAUAACCUAUUCAUGUCAGUGUUUCAAAGUUCCGUGAUCGAGAUAGAAGAAAGUGUUUGUGCUCAGUGACGUUAUCGUGAAAAGGUGGAUAUUCUGUGUUUUCGAAGUGUAUUCUCCAAUUCUAUAUAACAGUGUUUCGCUUUCCACGAUUACGUGAAACGAGGAAGAUUUGCCUUGCUGUCAACUCCUUAUCUCGAAACUUGAAUUUUGAACGAUUCUUGUUUCUUUUUUUGCUUUAUCUCGAAGUUGAAGUACGCGGACAAAGAAUUCCAUUUCGCAAAAUUCGGACAAAGAAUUCCUGAUCCUGAGAUAAGCAGAGGGAGGGACGUAACAUUGGCAACCCGCACCUGGUCUGCGUCAGUCAGAAUUGAGAAUUUAAUCUCCUUCGAAACCUGACGAGAGGAUAAGGCCUCUCGAAUAAUGCUAGACUGCAUCAGUGAGAAACGAGGCCACUGCUCCUUUCGGUGAUGAUAAGCAAGUUGGAUCUUCGCGCGAUGUUGGAAAGGGAAGGUGGUCGAAAAUAAGGAAAGGAAAUGAAUCAAAAGUGAAAAGAAGGGGAAGUUUCAGACACAGUAGUAAUCAUCAGGUGCACGAGGUCCUUAUGAUAUCGUAUUUGAUCCUUAAUCCCCGCAAUUAAUUUUUGGGCAUUUUCUGUUAAAACUGCUUCGACUCCAAUCAGAUCCAUUAUUUCGAUCUGAUCAGUUUUCUUAAUUUUUUCUAUAAUUUGAAUAAUUUUGGGCCCGAAUUGAUGAGAUCUGAUUUCUGACGAGCUGCCAAGAUAAAAGCGUUUCGGAGCAGAGAAGAAAAGUGUGAGAAAAGCGGUUCGACUCAAAAAGGAAUCGAGUGUUGCGUGGAAGCUAUAUGAAAUAGCUUGUGUGUGAGGAAGAAGUGAAGCAGAGUGGCUAGGAGUGUUUAGGGGGCCCUAGGAAGGAUUUGAUGGCAGUAGUGGGGCCCAGCCGGCACUCGCGAGUGUCCAUGAGCGUGUCUAUGUCGUUGAUGCAGGGUGGUGGGGCGGGGGCUACGGGUGGUGGGGCAACGGGGGCCCACCCGGGUCAGGCUCAGGCGGUCCUUGCCGCCGCUGCAGCCGCGGCCGCAGCUCAAGCGCCCCCCACCUACUAUCAUCCAGCGGCCCCUGCACCCCCACCCCCACCGCCAACACAGGAUCCCGUCCAGCCUGAUCGACCCAUCGGUUACGGGGCCUUUGGAGUUGUCUGGGCAGUGACGGAUCCCAGAGAUGGUAGGAGAGUAGCCUUGAAGAAAUUACCGAAUGUCUUUCAAAGUCUGGUCAGCAGUAAAAGGGUCUUCAGGGAGUUGAAGAUGCUCUGCUUCUUCAAACAUGAAAACGUCCUUUCUGCGUUGGAUAUUUUGCAGCCGCCACAUCUGGACUUCUUCCAGGAAAUAUAUGUCAUCACUGAACUUCUCCAAAGCGAUUUGCACAAGAUCAUCGUGAGUCCACAGCAUCUUAGUCCAGACCACAUCAAGGUCUUCCUUUAUCAAAUCCUUCGGGGUCUGAAAUACCUUCACUCCGCCAGAAUCCUUCAUAGAGACAUCAAACCUGGGAACCUUUUAGUGAAUAGCAAUUGCGUCCUGAAGAUCUGUGAUUUUGGAUUAGCUAGGGUGGAAGAACCUGACCAAAAUAAGCAUAUGACCCAGGAAGUGGUGACGCAGUAUUACCGAGCACCGGAAAUUUUAAUGGGUGCGCGGCAUUACAGUGCUGCUGUUGAUGUUUGGAGUGUUGGUUGUAUUUUUGGUGAACUUCUUCAAAGACGAAUUCUCUUCCAAGCCCAGAGUCCUGUACAGCAGUUGGAGCUGAUCACGGAAUUGUUGGGAACGCCGACUCUCGAGGACAUGAGGUACGCCUGUGAGGGUGCCCGUUCUCAUAUGCUGAGACGCGCCCCCAAGCCACCCUCGCUCACGGCUCUUUACACCCUCAGCAACCAAGCGACACACGAGGCUGUGCAUUUGCUCUGCCAGAUGCUGGUCUUCGAUCCCGAUAAAAGGAUCACUGUGGUGGACGCUUUGGCACAUCCUUACCUCGACGAAGGACGACUGAGAUAUCACUCGUGUAUGUGCACGUGUUGCUACACGACGAGUGCUGGAAUGAGGCAGUACACGGGAGAUUUCGAGCCAGCCACGUCGCAUCCAUUUGACGAUCUCUGGGAGCGAAAGCUCACGAGCGUGCAGCAGGUCAAAGAGGAAAUGCACAAAUUUAUAGCGGAACAGCUGAACACGUCACGCGUGCCACUCUGUAUAAAUCCGCAGUCCGCGGCAUUCAAAAGUUUCGCAAGGUAAGCCGUAGGUGGAAGAUGUUCGCUUCGACAGGCACGACAAUAAGAAGUCGAUUUUAUAAUCGACUUACCUACAGCAAAAGAUCCUCCACCCAAAUCCCGUGAUAUUAAAUCCCUCAUAAAAGUACGCCUCCAAACUCUCCUCUCCUUCUUCCUUCUCACUCCCUUCCCCAAUUCGAUGAUGAUAAUGAUGAUGAUGAUGAUGAUGAUGAUGAUGAUGAUGAUGAUGAUGAUGAUGAUGAUGAUGAUGAUGAUAAUAAUAUUGACGAAAACGACGACGAUAAUAAAAACUUAAAAAUCACUGACUUCUCGAGAGGAAAAUUGCAACGCGAGUACACGUACACGCACGUUAAAGAGCUUUGAAAGAAAGAAAACUGAGUACGAAAAAAAAAAUGAUGAAGUCCGGUGCCAGACUCGAUAGUAGAGAGAAAAAAAAAUUUGUAGUCAAUCAAGACAUGCUAGAAAACGAGAAGUACCUGAAAUGAUUAGAUUGGACUGAGAGUCUAAAAAAAAUCUCUUUCCAAGUAAAGUAGAUAAACGGAAAUUCACGACUAAGGAGCAGAUUCGCUUUGUUAUAAAAUGUGCUCGUGAAUCCAUUUUUCUCUUCCCACGAUAGCGACAGACGAAAGUGUACAUGAAUACGGGCAGACGUUUGAUAUCCAGAGUAAAAAAUAAAACAGAAAAAUAAUAAAGAAAUAAUGAACGAAAGAAAGACCAAGUUUUACUGUUGUUACUCUUCGUAUGAAAGAACCGAUGACGUAUAUUGCCUGUCUGUGACGCUCUUCCCCCUCCCGACAAUUGUCUGAUGUUUAAUCGAAUUUUUACUGAUUUUGAUUGUCAUCUUGCUUACUGCCGUCAAGUUAGAGCACACAUUACCAGUACCGAAUCAGCUAUCUGCCACUGUCAGCUACCACUACUAUCGUCUACUACUACUACCGAUCGUUACGUCUCCUCCUGAAAGAACCGAUUGACCGAGAAACAGCUAUAGUCGGCACGACCUCGCUAAGAGCUCCACUGUGGCGCAUCCUUCGGAAUUGCCACCCUCUCCCCAUCAAUGGGAAUAAAAGCUUCUUCGAGUUGGAUGAAUCGUCUGCUGUCUUUUGGACUGUAUCGAAUCCGGAAGUCGACGCACAUAGCUGGACGAAUAAGCAAACUACGAAGAAGAUUCAAGAGAGACAAUAGACUGCCGAGCAAUGUAGCCUGAAAUUUUCGACUAGCUGAUAACUUGAAUUUUAGGAGAGAAACGUAGCUAAUUAACGCAAUUGCCGACUACAAUGCAAGAUAGACAAUUACAAAAUAGGGAUAUUUUCGAGAGACAGAAGCGAGAGGCUGAAUCUUUAGUUUCUAAGUCUAUGAACGAGGGAAAGGGACAAUCGAGAAAAUCCCGAGUCGAGAAUCUCGAAAGUUAGGGCCAGUUUUUAGAUUUCCUUUUUUUUAUUUUUUAUUUCUAACGCUUAAAGAAGCCUGGCAUUUGAUGACUGUGAGAAUCAAAGGUGAAGAUCUCGUACACCUCGACAAUUCUUUCUACACUAUUGUUUAAAAAGAAAGAUUCACGAUUUCGAAAAUGUGGUACCGCAAAAGUACCUCAAGAGAUAGGAAUCACAUUCUAGAAUCACUUGUCUUCUAAUCUAGAGACGAAUUUCAUGAAAAAGAAUUAGGGCUGCUUGAAUAUUUAGGUGAAUUCUGAAGAAAUUUAGAAAUAUUCUUUAAAAAUCCUUUUAAACAAAUGUUGUAUUAAAUUACCAAAAUGGUGUUCAUUUUUCAAAGAAAAAAAAAACAAACAAACAAAUAAAAAGCGAGGACAGAACUUGCAGGAUAUCUUUCUCAUAUUCAUGUUUUUUAGGAAAUUGACUAGUUUUUCUCGAAAAAUUAAUGCCACAUUGGUAAUUUUUUUUUUAAUUUCCAAGAUUCCUUAAGUUCCGAAUAUAGAGACUGCCCAAUUUCAUAUGAAGUCGGUCUGGAAGUGAAUAAAGUGUGCGAUUAAACAAUAAUAAUUAUUGUUUCGCCUGCCUGACGUGUUUAUAUGUAAAUUAUAAACUCCACUGAUCUUAAUGACGUGAAAUAUUAAGACUACCCUAAGUUAAGAAUAACAAUAGGCUAAUGGGAGGUCAAUCUGUAUUUGAAAGAAUUGAACUCUUAAUUCAAUUAGCUGUCCACAAUCGUGGCGAUCGAGGCCAAGUAAUUAUUCUAGGAAUCACGUAUUCGUUUCGCUCUCGAAAGCAUUAUGUACAGUAUGCAUUCAGUAGGUACUCGUGUCCGUCGUUUCAUAUAAUUUACGAAUUACGAUUAGGAAUUAAGAAAGGGGAGUGGGAGCAGGUGAUAUCGAAUAAUCUAGGACGAUGAAAAAAAAAA
RNA transcript from Belonocnema kinseyi, 4901 nucleotides. It is a transcript of the gene named serine/threonine-protein kinase NLK, with no coding region annotated. The record is from RefSeq and is a predicted model, not a curated record. The transcript is spliced from 10 exons. NCBI's taxonomy places the organism in Eukaryota, Metazoa, Arthropoda, Insecta, Hymenoptera, Cynipidae.